Molecule: ribosomal RNA, 498 nt
Filed under: uncultured bacterium
Lineage: Bacteria
Description: partial 16S ribosomal RNA
Rfam family: Bacterial small subunit ribosomal RNA
Source: RNAcentral
AUUGAACGCUGGCGGCAUGCCUUACACAUGCAAGUCGAACGGUAACAGGUCUUCGGAUGCUGACGAGUGGCGAACGGGUGAGUAAUACAUCGGAACGUGCCUAGUAGUGGGGGAUAACUACUCGAAAGAGUGGCUAAUACCGCAUGAGAGCUACGGAUGAAAGCAGGGGAUCGCAAGACCUUGUGCUACUAGAGCGGCCGAUGGCAGAUUAGGUAGUUGGUGGGAUAAAAGCUUACCAAGCCGACGAUCUGUAGCUGGUCUGAGAGGACGACCAGCCACACUGGGACUGAGACACGGCCCAGACUCCUACGGGAGGCAGCAGUGGGGAAUUUUGGACAAUGGGCGAAAGCCUGAUCCAGCCAUGCCGUGUGCAGGAUGAAGGCCUUCGGGUUGUAAACUGCUUUUGUACGGAACGAAAAGACUCUGGUUAAUACCUGGGGUCCAUGACGGUACCGUAAGAAUAAGCACCGGCUAACUACGUGCCAGCCGCCGCCGUAA